Molecule: ribosomal RNA, 565 nt
Filed under: Pseudeurotium bakeri
Lineage: Eukaryota; Fungi; Ascomycota; Leotiomycetes; Thelebolales; Pseudeurotiaceae
Description: eukaryotic LSU rRNA
Rfam family: 5.8S ribosomal RNA (bases 202-355)
Source: RNAcentral
GAUUCCUUUCGGAGUAGGGGGACUGCGGAAGGAUCAUUAAAGAGACGUUGCCCUUCGGGGUAUACCUCCCACCCUUUGUUUAUUAUACCUUUGUUGCUUUGGCGGGCCCGUCCUCGGACCACCGGCUUCGGCUGGUCAGUGCCCGCCAGAGGACCUAAAACUCUGUUUGUUCAUAUUGUCUGAGUACUAUAUAAUAGUUAAAACUUUCAACAACGGAUCUCUUGGUUCUGGCAUCGAUGAAGAACGCAGCGAAAUGCGAUAAGUAAUGUGAAUUGCAGAAUUCAGUGAAUCAUCGAAUCUUUGAACGCACAUUGCGCCCCCUGGUAUUCCGGGGGGCAUGCCUGUUCGAGCGUCAUUACAACCCUCAAGCUCUGCUUGGUAUUGGGCUCUGCCGGUCCCGGCAGGCCUUAAAAUCAGUGGCGGUGCCAUUCGGCUUCAAGCGUAGUAAUUCUUCUCGCUUUGGAGACCCGGGUGCGUGCUUGCCAGCAACCCCCAAUUUUUUCAGGUUGACCUCGGAUCAGGUAGGGAUACCCGCUGAACUUAAGCAUAUCAUAAGCCCGGAGGA